Molecule: ribosomal RNA, 249 nt
Filed under: uncultured Chitinophagaceae bacterium
Lineage: Bacteria; Pseudomonadati; Bacteroidota; Chitinophagia; Chitinophagales; Chitinophagaceae
Description: partial 16S ribosomal RNA
Rfam family: Bacterial small subunit ribosomal RNA
Source: RNAcentral
UAAGGAAUAUUGGUCAAUGGGCGGAAGCCUGACCCAGCCAUGCCGCGUGGAGGAUGAAGGUCCUCUGGAUUGUAAACUUCUUUUAUCAGGGGCGAAAAAGGGCCAUUCUUGGUCAACUGACGGUACCUGAUGAAUAAGCACCGGCUAACUCCGUGCCAGCAGCCGCGGCAAUACGGAGGGUGCAAGCGUUAUCCGGAUUUACUGGGUUUAAAGGGAGCGUAGGCGGGUAGGUAAGGCAGGGGUGAAAGC